UGGCUGUAACUAUAACGGUCCAAAGGUAGCUAAAUUCCUUGUCACUUCAAUAGUGACCCGCAUGAAAGAUUUAAUGACUCAACUUAUAUUCUACGACCAUAACCAAAAGGAACAUUAGACUACGUGAAGACAUGAACACUAAUAGGAUAGGACAAAAAGACCUCAAGAAGCUUUAUUGGGAGAGAGAACGAGAAACACUAGUAGAUGGGAUCUAUGGAACAUAGGUAGCUAAUUAUACAUUCAGUAGACAUACAGGUAAGUAUUUGACAUCAGGUUAUUUUAUUGGGGCUAUUUCUUUAUGUAGGGUAAUAAUAGGGAGCUAAGAGAAUACAUGAACGUAGGAAGAUCUUUAGUAAGGACAUAUCAUUGGACAUAGCUAGCUUAAAGGAAGGUUUAUAGCAGAAGGAGAGAAUCAGAGCAUUAGUGAACUUAGUUACAACAUACCAGAUAACAGUUACUCCUUGGAUAACAGGCUUAUACAAGUUAACAGAUCAUUUAAAGGCAUAGCAUUGGCACCUCGAUGUCGGCUUGUCUACUUAUUAGGACAUUGAUUAAUACAAAUAGGGUGGUUGCUCAUCACGUAAAGUGGCAAGUGA
RNAcentral lists this ribosomal RNA (596 nucleotides) under Prorocentrum donghaiense. Its description in RNAcentral is "partial 23S ribosomal RNA". It matches the Rfam family "Bacterial large subunit ribosomal RNA", at positions 1931 to 2603 of the family's 2925-position model. Lineage: Eukaryota; Dinophyceae; Prorocentrales; Prorocentraceae. The record is from RNAcentral.